This 489-nucleotide ribosomal RNA is filed under the name uncultured bacterium. Its description in RNAcentral is "partial 16S ribosomal RNA". It matches the Rfam family "Bacterial small subunit ribosomal RNA", at positions 30 to 506 of the family's 1533-position model. The record is from RNAcentral.
AUUGAACGCUGGCGGCAGGCCUAACACAUGCAAGUCGAACGGUAACAGGAAGCAGCUUGCUGCUUUGCUGACGAGUGGCGGACGGGUGAGUAAUGUCUGGGAAACUGCCUGAUGGAGGGGGAUAACUACUGGAAACGGUAGCUAAUACCGCAUAACGUCGCAAGACCAAAGAGGGGGACCUUAGGGCCUCUUGCCAUCGGAUGCGCCCAGAUGGGAUUAGCUAGUAGGUGGGGUAACGGCUCACCUAGGCGACGAUCCCUAGCUGGUCUGAGAGGAUGACCAGCCACACUGGAACUGAGGCACGGGCCAGACUCCUACGGGAGGCAGCAGUGGGGAAUAUUGCACAAUGGGCGCAAGCCUGAUGCAGCAAUGCCGCGUGUAUGAAGAAGGCCUUCGGGUUGUAAAGUACUUUCAGCGGGGAGGAAGGGAGUAAAGUUAAUACCUUUGCUCAUUGACGUUACCCGCAGAAGAAGCACCGGCUAACUCCGU